GCAGGGAAAGGGAACCCAGAAAUCUGGUAUGCCAGCAAAGAGAGUAAGAACUUCUGACAAGCCAGGCUUCUGGUCUCUCUCUCUCUGUCUCUC
Molecule: non-coding RNA, 93 nt
Organism: Homo sapiens (human)
Lineage: Eukaryota; Metazoa; Chordata; Mammalia; Primates; Hominidae
Source: RefSeq, marked provisional